MicroRNA precursor from Fukomys damarensis (Damara mole-rat), 90 nucleotides. NCBI's taxonomy places the organism in Eukaryota, Metazoa, Chordata, Mammalia, Rodentia, Bathyergidae. The record is from Ensembl.
UGCUCUUCGCGAAUCUUUUUGCGGUCUGGGCUUGCUGUAUAUAACUCAAUAGCCGGAAGCCCUUACCCCAAAAAGCAUUCGCGGAGGGCG